GUGACAGCUGUACACUUUGAAAGGACUAAUACCACUGAAUGUACACUUAAAAGUGGCUGAACUGAACCCACAUCAUCAUGGAAAUGAGCCAUGUGGAGUGGAUGGACUGUCAUUUUGCUGACUCUCUCCUAUGACUUCUGCUUACUCUGCUUCCCAAACUGCCAUGCAUAUUCAUCACCUUUAUUGACACCCCACUAGAUUGACUUGCCCUUUAAGUGUCAUUACUAAGAGCCCCCAAACAAAGGUGUCUUACCGGAC
Molecule: long non-coding RNA, 258 nt
Organism: Tupaia belangeri chinensis (Chinese tree shrew)
Lineage: Eukaryota; Metazoa; Chordata; Mammalia; Scandentia; Tupaiidae
Exons: 3
Source: RefSeq, a predicted model, not a curated record